GCAGUGCGUGGCCGAAUGGCUACGCUGUUCGCUUUGUAAGCGGAUAAUUCUGGGUUCGAUUCCCAUCUGCUGCA
This 74-nucleotide transfer RNA is filed under the name Culex quinquefasciatus (southern house mosquito). RNAcentral describes it as "tRNA-Thr". The record is from RNAcentral. Lineage: Eukaryota; Metazoa; Arthropoda; Insecta; Diptera; Culicidae.